GGUUAAGCGACUAAGCGUACACGGUGGAUGCCCUGGCAGUCAGAGGCGAUGAAGGACGUGCUAAUCUGCGAUAAGCGUCGGUAAGGUGAUAUGAACCGUUAUAACCGGCGAUUUCCGAAUGGGGAAACCCAGUGUGAUUCGUCACACUAUCAUUAACUGAAUCCAUAGGUUAAUGAGGCGAACCGGGGGAACUGAAACAUCUAAGUACCCCGAGGAAAAGAAAUCAACCGAGAUUCCCCCAGUAGCGGCGAGCGAACGGGGAGCAGCCCAGAGCCUGAAUCAGUGUGUGUGUUAGUGGAAGCGUCUGGAAAGGCGCGCGAUACAGGGUGACAGCCCCGUACACAAAAAUGCACAUACUGUGAGCUCGAUGAGUAGGGCGGGACACGUGGUAUCCUGUCUGAAUAUGGGGGGACCAUCCUCCAAGGCUAAAUACUCCUGACUGACCGAUAGUGAACCAGUACCGUGAGGGAAAGGCGAAAAGAACCCCGGCGAGGGGAGUGAAAAAGAACCUGAAACCGUGUACGUACAAGCAGUGGGAGCCUCUUUUAUGGGGUGACUGCGUACCUUUUGUAUAAUGGGUCAGCGACUUAUAUUCUGUAGCAAGGUUAACCGAAUAGGGGAGCCGAAGGGAAACCGAGUCUUAACCGGGCGUUAAGUUGCAGGGUAUAGACCCGAAACCCGGUGAUCUAGCCAUGGGCAGGUUGAAGGUUGGGUAACACUAACUGGAGGACCGAACCGACUAAUGUUGAAAAAUUAGCGGAUGACUUGUGGCUGGGGGUGAAAGGCCAAUCAAACCGGGAGAUAGCUGGUUCUCCCCGAAAGCUAUUUAGGUAGCGCCUCGUGAAUUCAUCUCCGGGGGUAGAGCACUGUUUCGGCAAGGGGGUCAUCCCGACUUACCAACCCGAUGCAAACUGCGAAUACCGGAGAAUGUUAUCACGGGAGACACACGGCGGGUGCUAACGUCCGUCGUGAAGAGGGAAACAACCCAGACCGCCAGCUAAGGUCCCAAAGUCAUGGUUAAGUGGGAAACGAUGUGGGAAGGCCCAGACAGCCAGGAUGUUGGCUUAGAAGCAGCCAUCAUUUAAAGAAAGCGUAAUAGCUCACUGGUCGAGUCGGCCUGCGCGGAAGAUGUAACGGGGCUAAACCAUGCACCGAAGCUGCGGCAGCGACACUGUGUGUUGUUGGGUAGGGGAGCGUUCUGUAAGCCUGUGAAAGUGUACUGUGAGGUAUGCUGGAGGUAUCAGAAGUGCGAAUGCUGACAUAAGUAACGAUAAAGCGGGUGAAAAGCCCGCUCGCCGGAAGACCAAGGGUUCCUGUCCAACGUUAAUCGGGGCAGGGUGAGUCGACCCCUAAGGCGAGGCCGAAAGGCGUAGUCGAUGGGAAACAGGUUAAUAUUCCUGUACUUGGUGUUACUGCGAAGGGGGGACGGAGAAGGCUAUGUUGGCCGGGCGACGGUUGUCCCGGUUUAAGCGUGUAGGCUGGUUUUCCAGGCAAAUCCGGAAAAUCAAGGCUGAGGCGUGAUGACGAGGCACUACGGUGCUGAAGCAACAAAUGCCCUGCUUCCAGGAAAAGCCUCUAAGCAUCAGGUAACAUCAAAUCGUACCCCAAACCGACACAGGUGGUCAGGUAGAGAAUACCAAGGCGCUUGAGAGAACUCGGGUGAAGGAACUAGGCAAAAUGGUGCCGUAACUUCGGGAGAAGGCACGCUGAUAUGUAGGUGAAGUCCCUCGCGGAUGGAGCUGAAAUCAGUCGAAGAUACCAGCUGGCUGCAACUGUUUAUUAAAAACACAGCACUGUGCAAACACGAAAGUGGACGUAUACGGUGUGACGCCUGCCCGGUGCCGGAAGGUUAAUUGAUGGGGUCAGCGCAAGCGAAGCUCUUGAUCGAAGCCCCGGUAAACGGCGGCCGUAACUAUAACGGUCCUAAGGUAGCGAAAUUCCUUGUCGGGUAAGUUCCGACCUGCACGAAUGGCGUAAUGAUGGCCAGGCUGUCUCCACCCGAGACUCAGUGAAAUUGAACUCGCUGUGAAGAUGCAGUGUACCCGCGGCAAGACGGAAAGACCCCGUGAACCUUUACUAUAGCUUGACACUGAACAUUGAGCCUUGAUGUGUAGGAUAGGUGGGAGGCUUUGAAGUGUGGACGCCAGUCUGCAUGGAGCCGACCUUGAAAUACCACCCUUUAAUGUUUGAUGUUCUAACGUGGACCCGUGAUCCGGGUUGCGGACAGUGUCUGGUGGGUAGUUUGACUGGGGCGGUCUCCUCCUAAAGAGUAACGGAGGAGCACGAAGGUUGGCUAAUCCUGGUCGGACAUCAGGAGGUUAGUGCAAUGGCAUAAGCCAGCUGACUGCGAGCGUGACGGCGCGAGCAGGUGCGAAAGCAGGUCAUAGUGAUCCGGUGGUUCUGAAUGGAAGGGCCAUCGCUCAACGGAUAAAAGGUACUCCGGGGAUAACAGGCUGAUACCGCCCAAGAGUUCAUAUCGACGGCGGUGUUUGGCACCUCGAUGUCGGCUCAUCACAUCCUGGGGCUGAAGUAGGUCCCAAGGGUAUGGCUGUUCGCCAUUUAAAGUGGUACGCGAGCUGGGUUUAGAACGUCGUGAGACAGUUCGGUCCCUAUCUGCCGUGGGCGCUGGAGAACUGAGGGGGGCUGCUCCUAGUACGAGAGGACCGGAGUGGACGCAUCACUGGUGUUCGGGUUGUCAUGCCAAUGGCACUGCCCGGUAGCUAAAUGCGGAAGAGAUAAGUGCUGAAAGCAUCUAAGCACGAAACUUGCCCCGAGAUGAGUUCUCCCUGACCCUUUAAGGGUCCUGAAGGAACGUUGAAGACGACGACGUUGAUAGGCCGGGUGUGUAAGCGCAGCGAUGCGUUGAGCUAACCGGUACUAAUGAACCGUGAGGCUUAACCUU
RNAcentral lists this ribosomal RNA (2902 nucleotides) under Escherichia coli O157:H7 str. EC4196. RNAcentral describes it as "bacterial LSU rRNA". It matches the Rfam family "Bacterial large subunit ribosomal RNA". Lineage: Bacteria; Pseudomonadati; Pseudomonadota; Gammaproteobacteria; Enterobacterales; Enterobacteriaceae. The record is from RNAcentral.